CGCUUAUGGCGGUUCUCAGUGA
Molecule: non-coding RNA, 22 nt
Filed under: Arabidopsis thaliana (thale cress)
Lineage: Eukaryota; Viridiplantae; Streptophyta; Magnoliopsida; Brassicales; Brassicaceae
Source: RNAcentral